CCCGGGGCUCAACCCCGGGAGUGCAUUUGAAACUGUAGGGCUUGAGUGAAGUAGAGGCAGGCGGAAUUCCCGGUGUAGCGGUGAAAUGCGUAGAGAUCGGGAGGAACACCAGUGGCGAAGGCGGCCUGCUGGGCUUUAACUGACGCUGAAGCACGAAAGCGUGGGUAGCAAACAG
RNAcentral lists this ribosomal RNA (175 nucleotides) under uncultured bacterium. RNAcentral's name for it is "partial 16S ribosomal RNA". It matches the Rfam family "Bacterial small subunit ribosomal RNA", at positions 601 to 775 of the family's 1533-position model. The record is from RNAcentral.